UCUGACUGUGUUAGAUGUAGCUUAGUUUUUCAAUAUGAGGCAUAAUGCCCGACAACGUAGCGGUGUCGCAUGAUUGCUAAGCAUUUCACAAAAAAUUCUUAUCAAUCAUGCGACACUUUAAUCGCUAUCCCAUAAUUUAAAUUAGGGAAUGGGACUCUUCACCGAGGUUGUAAAAUGAGACAAACGAUUUUAGCUGUAU
Non-coding RNA from Acinetobacter sp. 38-8, 199 nucleotides. The record is from Rfam. Lineage: Bacteria; Pseudomonadati; Pseudomonadota; Gammaproteobacteria; Moraxellales; Moraxellaceae.